Molecule: ribosomal RNA, 465 nt
Filed under: Vreelandella stevensii
Lineage: Bacteria; Pseudomonadati; Pseudomonadota; Gammaproteobacteria; Oceanospirillales; Halomonadaceae
Description: partial 16S ribosomal RNA
Rfam family: Bacterial small subunit ribosomal RNA
Source: RNAcentral
CCUACGGGGGGCUGCAGUGGGGAAUAUUGGACAAUGGGGGGAACCCUGAUCCAGCCAUGCCGCGUGUGUGAAGAAGGCCCUCGGGUUGUAAAGCACUUUCAGUGAGGAAGAACGCCUGGUGGUUAAUACCCAUCAGGAAAGACAUCACUCACAGAAGAAGCACCGGCUAACUCCGUGCCAGCAGCCGCGGUAAUACGGAGGGUGCGAGCGUUAAUCGGAAUUACUGGGCGUAAAGCGCGCGUAGGUGGCUUGAUAAGCCGGUUGUGAAAGCCCCGGGCUCAACCUGGGAACGGCAUCCGGAACUGUCAAGCUAGAGUGCAGGCGAGGAAGGUAGAAUUCCCGGUGUAGCGGUGAAAUGCGUAGAGAUCGGGAGGAAUACCAGUGGCGAAGGCGGCCUUCUGGACUGACACUGACACUGAGGUGCGAAAGCGUGGGUAGCAAACAGGAUUAGAUACCCUAGUAGUC